GGAGUAUGGGCCGUGUCUCAGUCCCAUUGUGGCUGAUCAUCCUCUCAAACCAGCUACUGAUCAUCGCCUUGGUGGUCCAUUACACCCCCAACUAGCUAAUCAGAUGCAGACUCAUCCCAGAGCACCGGAGUUUUCAAGAAUAGUAUCUCAACUACGCUCAUAUGGGGUAUUAGCUGUCGUUUCCAACGGUUGUCCCCCACUCUAGGGCAGAUUCUCUACAUAUUACUCACCCGUCCGCCACUUUCCAUUACCCGAAGGUAACUUCUCGUUCGACUUGCAUGUAUGAAGCACGCCGCCAGCGUUCGUC
This 307-nucleotide ribosomal RNA is filed under the name uncultured cyanobacterium. Its description in RNAcentral is "partial 16S ribosomal RNA". The record is from RNAcentral. Lineage: Bacteria; Bacillati; Cyanobacteriota.